CACGGAUUAAGAACUGCAUUGUUUUGAUGCUUUCAGAACCGGUAGGUCAAAAUUCUAAGAAACCGAAAGUCGAAGUGGAAUCAGGGACCAAAAGUGGCGAAUCUGGUCCAGUUGUGGUAAUAUCUGAAGCACUUGCAAAUUUUUUUGGUAUGGGUGGAAGAGAGAUGCUGCAUUCUGAAGUCAUAAGACGUGUUUGGGAAUACAUAAAGUUCAACCAACUCGGGGAUCCUCUGAGUUCCAUGGUGAUCCAAUGUGAUACAAAGCUUCAAGAGCUGUUUGGAUGUGCAACCAUUUCUACAUUGGGGA
Non-coding RNA from Camellia sinensis, 306 nucleotides. NCBI's taxonomy places the organism in Eukaryota, Viridiplantae, Streptophyta, Magnoliopsida, Ericales, Theaceae. The record is from RefSeq and is a predicted model, not a curated record.